Molecule: long non-coding RNA, 5772 nt
Organism: Prinia subflava (tawny-flanked prinia)
Lineage: Eukaryota; Metazoa; Chordata; Aves; Passeriformes; Cisticolidae
Exons: 3
Source: RefSeq, a predicted model, not a curated record
CUGGGAUCCUUCCUCUGGGCACCAUGGGAAUGGCAUAACUCGUAUCGAAAGCAAACGUUACUGGAAUUAUUGCACCUUAAAGCGUAGGUUCGCUUAGGUGGCUGCUUGGCGGUAUAUGAAAGGAGGACAGAAAAUAGGAUUGUUGGAUGCAAAUGUUUUGAUUUGAUGUUGCUUGUGAGCAAGAAAAAAUGGCAGUGAAGAGGUGUCUCAGCAAAUAACUGAGGAAGUGAAAUACCCCUGUUGCCUACAGAUUGUGGAUAUUUGGUCUUGACUGGUGUCACCUCUGAGGCAAAAGUGUCACAGAAUAAACUUUAUGUACAGAGGAUGCUAUCUGGUUUACGAGGCGUGGGGAUCAGCAGUAUCUGUGUCAGGUUCAGUGGAAAGAAAUUACAUGAGGAUUAGGUAAGUGACCUGUUGAUCUGCUGGAAAAUAUGAUAUCAGCUUGAAUUUAACCAGAGGAUUUGUAGAGCCUCCUAAAACUUGUGUUCCGCAGAAAGGUUUUUGAUUUGGUUUUUAUUUUGUGAGACACUGCACCUGGAGAAAGAAGCUUGCUGGGUGAUUACAAUAGGUCUGCAAGGGAAGACACUGGAUGCAGGACUGGAGUGGGAGAGGGAGAUGCUCUGAUGGAUUUGGAAAGACAUUGAGGAGGGAGUACUCCAUUUGAGCUGAAAGGGCUGGUCUAUCUUGGUAAAGAGAGUCUUUCUGGUGGGAAGUCUGGAUUGCAGCGCAAGCCAGGGGAGCGCUAGGCAGGUGAGCACAGCAUAGGAGGCCCACAGCUGGAGUGUCCAUCCCCAUGGCUUGCAAGCCUUUUGUUGUGUGGAGGGUUUGACUCUCCUCUCACUUAGGCCAAGAGGAAAUGUCUGUGACUGCUGCACUUCAGCUGGAGACACACUGUUACCUUCUCUGCAAAAUGACAAAACUUAUGUUUGUUAUCAGCUAUACAGGUGGGUAAUCUUUUUUCACUUUAUCUGUUAAAUUCUGCCAGGUUUCUUGCCUUUGUUGGGAUUGAAUAUACUAUUAUUUCCCCCUUACUCUGUCUCUCACUUUUUAUACUAGGAGACUGGUUUAGAACCAUACAAUCGUCAAGGUUGGAAGGAGCCUCUAAGAUCAUGCAGUACAACAGCCAACCCAGCACUACCACUGUAACUCUAAACCACUAAGUAUAACCCAGCACCAGAUCUAGAAGCUUCUAUCUAGAUCUGGUGACACCACCACCUCCCUGGGCAACUUAUUCCAAUGCUUGACCACCCUAACAGUGACAUUUUUGUUCUAAUAUCUAAUCUGAUUCUUGUAUCUCAGCUGAAGGCCAUUUCCUCUGGUCCUUUCACUGCAGGCACAGUAGAUGAGACCAACCCCCCACCACAUUACAGCCUUCUUUCAGGGAGUUGUAGAGAGCAAUGAGGUCUCCCUUGAGCCUGCUCUUCUCGUGAUUAAAUAAACCCAACUCCCUCAGCCAUUCAUCAUAAGACAUUUUCUAGUCCUUUUGUGAGCCUUGUUGACUUUCACUGGACAAGCUCCAGCACCUCUGUGUCCUGGAGGUGUGAGGGGGCCAAAACUGGACUCGAGGUGCAGCUUCAGCAAUGCCAAGGACCGGAGGAUGGUCACUCCCCUUGUCCUGCUGGCCACACUGUUCUUGGGUCAGCCCAAGAUGCCAUUGGCCUGGGCACACGCUGCCUCACAACGAGCACCCCCAAGUCCCUUUUUGCUGAGCAACUCUUAAGCCAAUUCCCCCCAGCCUGUAGUGCUGCCUGGGUUUGCUGAGGGUAAAGUGCAGAACCCAGCACUUGGCCUUACUGAGCCUCAUCCAGUUGUCCUCGGCCCAUGGAUCAAGUCUGUCCAGGUCUCUGUAGAGCCUGACUACCCUCGAGCAUGUCUAUGGUUCAACUAACACACUUCAGGGGGUUUCUUUGUGUAGGGUGCAUCAAGGUCUACUUUUUUGAUUGGUUAUUUGGCUGGUGUUUUGUUUGUUGGUUUUUUUUGUUGUUUGUUUUGGUUUUGGUUUUUGGUUUGGUUUGUUUUUUGUUUUGUGGGGUUUUUUUGUUUGGUUUGGUUGGAUUUUGUUUGUUGUUUGUUUUGUUUUGGGGUUUGGUUUGAUUUUUGAGGGGUUGUUUGGGGUUUUUUUUUGUUUUUUGUUUGUUUUGGUUUUGGGUUUGGUUUGAUUUUUUGUGUGGUUUGGUUUUUUUUGUUUUGUUUUUGUUUUGGGUUUUUUUGGUUUGGUUUGGUUUUGGGUUUGAUUUUGUGUGUAUGUGUGUUUUUUAUUGUCUUUGUUUGGUUGGUUGUUUUUGUUUGUUUGUUUUGUUUCUGGGUUUUGUUUGAUUUUUUGUGGGUUUGUUUGUUUUGUUUUUGGGUUUGAUUUGAUUUUUUUGUGGUUUGUUUUUGUUUUUGUUUUUGUUUUGGUUGGUUGGUUGGUUUUUUGUUUGUGGGUUGGGGGGUUGUUUGUUUUUUGUUUUGUUUUGUUUUUGGGUUUGGUUUGAUUUUUGUGGGUUUGUUUGUUUGUUUUUGUGUUUUUGUUGUUUGUUUGUUUUGUUUUGUUUUCCCUGCCGGGUCCGCCGUGUGAGCGCUGGGGCGCGGGCCGGGCAGGGCCGGCCGCGGGGCGGCGCUCGGGGCGCCCGGAGCAGCCGCGAUCCGCCGGCAGACCGCGAGGGGUCAGCGCGGGCUUUGCUGCGGGCGCCGCGCCCGCCCGAAGGCUGUGGCAGCACGGGGGAGUGGGCUGGCUUUGCACCAGGGCUGUCAGCAGCGACGGCAGAGCCCACUCACUCACGCUGUUGCCAUGUGACAUUCACCGCCGCCCCUCGUCUCCCCCUUGACCCAGAGGAUGAUUUCGAGUCGAUCUGCCAAAGUGCCCACCAGUUAAACAUAUUAAAAACAUGGGAGGAAAAGCCCAAGAAAGCAAGCAGUGGAGACCGAUCUUCGCUGAAGUUGUUUGCUUGUUAGGCAUCAAAGGGAUCACAUCUGCAGAGCUGAUGCCUUCGAACCAGGGACAGGACCUUGGGCUUGCACAUCUCUCCUCUCUACACCUCCUCUUCUGCAUCAGAGGCCUGGUGUUGAUCCUAUGGUUUGAAAUAAGCUGGAUUGAGUGUCUAGUAAUGAAUGCUUCACAGCCUUCAGCACCAUCUGUGCUAGGAGACUUGGAAAUAAUAGGGCAAACUGAAAAGUGUAAUGUCAAGAAGCCCUAAUUCCAGGGUGCUGGAUCAUUAAGCUGAAACUGGAAGCCUGCAUGUCAAAGGAUUAAUGCAUUAAUAUGGUUCUAUAUACUGCUUUAUUAUCUAGACAGAUAUAUUUUACUAUUACAUAUGCACUGUUUGUUCUCCAUGCUGAGUUAUUUUGGCUUACUAAUUCGGAUCCAUUUUAAGUAACUUUCACUUUUACUGUAAUGAGAAAGUCAUCCAAGUCAUAGCUGAUAUCAGCUUCUCAAAGCUGUGAGUCAGUUCUGGAUUUCCCACCUAUUUCAUCAGAAAUAGGUCCUUGAAUACUUCUAAGAGACAUACCAUUUAAUGUGUCUUACCAUUCAAGCUAUUCUUCUGCAUUUAUAUACUUAGGGAAAAAAAAAAAAGACCAAAAAAAAAAAAAAAAAAAAAAAAAAAAAAAAAAAGCAGCAGAUGUAUGAAAGGGUUUUUAUCUUUUGAGAAUGAAUGGUAUAUGCUAUGUACACAAUGCUAAUUCCAGCACGUGGAGACAAUUGCACUUGCCUGAAUACAGGCCAGCAGAUAAUUUUCUGGAAACUUCUCACAUCAUUUUUAAAAGAAAGCAAACUGAGAAUUUAUGCCCUUCUCAAGCAAAUUCAGACUGAGAGGUCACUGGUUUGGUUUCCAAGUCAAGAACGCCUUUGCAUGUUAGUAGGGUAAAAAAGAUUGUUAGGCUUGAGAAUUCUUGUUUACAACAAAGAGUUUUCUCCCCAGUACUCACAGCUCUGUAGACAGAAGAGAAAUGUUCUUAGAGAGGCUGGAUGUAUCUGGCAGACAUCAUGCCUAUGUUGUCACUAGUUAAAAAUGGAAACUCUCUAAGUGAUUACUACCAGGUCGAAUGCUGUCACCUGUAGUGUCACCAGGGCAUUAACUAGAAACAACUGGAAGUAGAAACACAACAGCUCUUUAAAGUGGCUCAGUUUGAGAGGCAUUUUGGGAACUAUGGUGCUCAAAGGGGCUGAAACUACUGAGCAGAGCAUAGCAUAUACAGUCACAGAUAAGAGGUGCUUCCUCCAGGACUCCCAGUGAAAUACUGGAAAGGACAUCCCCGGGUUUCAACACGUUCGAUCGGAGGCCAUGCGGCUGCAGGCUAGGGAGCAGCAAGGAUGACAAGUUAGAGAGGUCUGUCUGUGCAGUCCGCUGGAUCGGUCCGGACAGGUCGCAGUAGCACAGGUUACCCCAAGGUGGCUCUCCACAACCUCUGUGGAACUUGGGCUUGGGCUGCUCUGAAGCGGUGUCUCGGUGGAGACAAGUGCUAACUGUGAGCUUAAGCCUAAGCGUGUCAGACACUGAAGGGAUGUGAAAAGUGAUUUGUCUUUUAAUAUUUAGACUGUGCUCAUUCACAACAGGGAAAUGUGUUUUAUUAUUGGUUGGUUUGCUAACAAACAGGCUCUAAUCUGAGUUCAGCAAUCACACUAGUUUCAGUCUGAAUUAAUUUUGAAGGAUACACUGACCAAAUUACAGCUACUUUUAAUAAAGCCCGACUGAAAAAAAAAAAAAUCUGUUCACUCACACCACUCCCCCCAUCCUCAGGAUCAUAGGCCAGUACAGCCUGCAGAAAGAUUACCAGUGACCUCAGAACAGGUCAGCAUCAGGGCUUGCAGUCCUGCAAAAUCCAGACAGCCUCCCUGGACAGGGAGCCUGCUCUGCUGCUUGACUGUUACCAGGGAGAAAGGGUUUUUCUAACAUCCGAUCUGAGCCUCUUGAUUCACCUUAGUCUCAUUGUCUCCUACAUCCCCACUAGGAAUUGCUGUGCAGACCCUGGUGUUUUCUUCUCAAUGAUCGCUCCACAGGUUUUUGGGGACUGCAGUUUGCCUCCCAAACUUUGCCUUCCCCAGGCUGAACUGGCCCUGGUCCCUCAGCCUGCAGAGCAGGACAGCGCCGCAGCUUUGGGCACUCCGGUGCCCCCAUCUGCACUUGCUCCAGUUCAUCGAUGAGUUUCCCCUGCUGGGGUGCCCAAACCGGACAGACGACAUUGCUGCUGUUCCGUGAGUGCUGAGCAGAGGGGGAUCAUCCUCUCCCUCGGCCGGCUGGCCCUGCUGCUGUCCAUGCACACCGGGGCACGGGGUGGCUUUGCUGCAGCCGGGGCCGCUACUGAGCAUCACCGGGUGACUGCCCAGUGCAGCCCAGGACCUCCUCUGCAGAGCUGUCCUCAGCGCUAGUGGUCACUGGGGCUGUCCCUUCUCGACGUUCACAUUUGCAGAAACCAUAUUAAUAAAACCUUUUGUUUCCUUUUUUCUUUCUUUUUCUCUCUCUCAUUAUUAUUAUUAUUAUUAUUAUUAUUAUUAUUAUUAUUAUUAUUAUUAUUAUUAUUUCCCCUGCACUGUUCAGAUUUUCCGUUCCAAGUCUUGGGCACAAGUCGCCCUCCUACUUGCCAGUGCCUGCCGGCCAGCGGUGUGCAGGGAGCGGUGGCGCGUGUAGGCGCACCGCUGGAACCGCCGGCACCGCUGUCUGGGGCCGGCACCGCUGUCUCGGGCCGGCACCGCUGGCACCGCUGUCUCGGGCCGGCACCGCUGGCACCGCUGUCUCGGGCCGGCACCGCUGGCACCGCUGGCUCGGGUCGGCACCGCUGGCACCGCUGGCUCGG